Non-coding RNA from Protopterus annectens (West African lungfish), 441 nucleotides. Lineage: Eukaryota; Metazoa; Chordata; Ceratodontiformes; Protopteridae. The record is from the annotation of a RefSeq genome assembly.
CAGCUUUGUGUGACAGGUUGAAGAUUACUUUGCAUGUUAGUCACAGCAGGAUAUUAGAACAUGUUAGUCAGGAGAACAAGAGAGUUUGCAUUUUGUGUUUUCAUAGCUGCUUUGUUUAAAGGUGGAGAAUGUGCAGAAAAAGUAACUCAACCAGCUCAUGUACAAGCUGUAGAAGGCAAAGAAGUCAAAAUAUUAUGUAGCCAUUCAGAAGCAUCUAGGGGUAUCCAGUGGUAUAAACAGGUGGCUAAUGAAGGUCCAAAAUUUCUAAUUCAGAAACAUGAUGGAAAGGAAAGGCAAGGUCGGUUUACAUUAGAAGUUGACAGAAAAGCAAUGACUGCAAACCUUACCAUAAGGGACGUAACAAUCACAGACACAGCCUCCAUCUACUACUGUGCAGUGGAGGACACAGUAAAACAAAACCUAGCAACUGCACCACAAUAA